GUGGGGAAUAUUGGACAAUGGGGGGAACCCUGAUCCAGCCAUGCCGCGUGUGUGAAGAAGGCCUUUUGGUUGUAAAGCACUUUAAGCGAGGAGGAGGCUACCGAGAUUAAUACUCUUGGAUAGUGGACGUUACUCGCAGAAUAAGCACCGGCUAACUCUGUGCCAGCAGCCGCGGUAAUACAGAGGGUGCGAGCGUUAAUCGGAUUUACUGGGCGUAAAGCGUGCGUAGGCGGCUUUUUAAGUCGGAUGUGAAAUCCCCGAGCUUAACUUGGGAAUUGCAUUCGAUACUGGGAAGCUAGAGUAUGGGAGAGGAUGGUAGAAUUCCAGGUGUAGCAGUGAAAUGCGUAGAGAUCUGGAGGAAUACCGAUGGCGAAGGCAGCCAUCUGGCCUAAUACUGACGCUGAGGUACGAAAGCAUGGGGAGCAAACAGGAUUAGAUACCCGAGUAGUCC
This 451-nucleotide ribosomal RNA is filed under the name uncultured bacterium. RNAcentral's name for it is "partial 16S ribosomal RNA". It matches the Rfam family "Bacterial small subunit ribosomal RNA", at positions 354 to 796 of the family's 1533-position model. The record is from RNAcentral.